GUGACAUGUUGUCCUGUUUUCCAUCUCAGGAAUUCCCGCUCAUAUUGACACACAUUCCGCUUUUGAGGAUGAGAUCGUUUCUCUCAGUUUGGGGUCAGAGAUUGUCAUGGAUUUUAAGCACCCAGAUGGCAUUGCAGUGCCAGUUAUGUUGCCUCGUCGGAGUUUGCUGGUGAUGACAGGAGAAUCUAGAUACCUUUGGACCCAUGGAAUCACAUGCAGAAAAUUUGAUACUGUUCAAGCAUCUGAGAGUCUUAAAAGUGGAAUUAUCACCAGUGAUGUUGGAGACUUAACUUUAAGCAAGAGGGGACUACGAACAUCAUUUACAUUUAGGAAAGUGAGGCAAACACCUUGUAACUGUAGUAAGUAUAUACUCUUAUCUCUUCUGC
This 386-nucleotide long non-coding RNA is filed under the name Pan troglodytes (chimpanzee). Its description in RNAcentral is "long non-coding RNA NONPTRT003206". The record is from RNAcentral. Lineage: Eukaryota; Metazoa; Chordata; Mammalia; Primates; Hominidae.